AUUGAACGCUGGCGGCAUGCUUUACACAUGCAAGUCGAACGGUAACAGGCCGCAAGGUGCUGACGAGUGGCGAACGGGUGAGUAAUGCAUCGGAACGUGCCCAGUCGUGGGGGAUAACUACUCGAAAGAGUAGCUAAUACCGCAUACGAUCUAUGGAUGAAAGCGGGGGACCGUAAGGCCUCGCGCGAUUGGAGCGGCCGAUGUCAGAUUAGGUAGUUGGUGGGGUAAAGGCUCAACAAGCCAACGAUCUGUAGCUGGUCUGAGAGGACGACCAGCCACACUGGGACUGAGACACGGCCCAGACUCCUACGGGAGGCAGCAGUGGGGAAUUUUGGACAAUGGGCGCAAGCCUGAUCCAGCAAUGCCGCGUGCAGGAAGAAGGCCUUCGGGUUGUAAACUGCUUUUGUACGGAACGAAACGGCUCUGGUUAAUACCCGGGGCUAAUGACGGUACCGUAAGAAUAAGCACCGGCUAACUACGUG
This 482-nucleotide ribosomal RNA is filed under the name uncultured bacterium. Its description in RNAcentral is "partial 16S ribosomal RNA". It matches the Rfam family "Bacterial small subunit ribosomal RNA", at positions 30 to 507 of the family's 1533-position model. The record is from RNAcentral.